GCCAGCCCGCUCAGAACUUAAAGGAAUUGACGGGGGCCCGCACAAGCGGUGGAGUAUGUGGUUUAAUUCGAUGCAACGCGAAGAACCUUACCUGGUCUUGACAUCCCGGAGACCCUUAGGAAACUAGGGGGUGCUUCCAUCUGGAAGAAUCUGGAGACAGGUGCUGCAUGGCUGUCGUCAGCUCGUGUCGUGAGAUGUUGGGUUAAGUCCCGCAACGAGCGCAACCCUUGCCUUUAGUUGCCAGCAGUUCGGCUGGGCACUCUAAAGGGACUGCCGGUGUUAAACCGGAGGAAGGUGGGGAUGACGUCAAGUCCUCAUGGCCUUUAUGACCAGGGCUACACACGUACUACAAUGGCCGAUACAAAGGGCAGCGACACUGCGAGGUGAAGCCAAUCCCGUAAAAUCGGUCUCAGUCCGGAUUGGAGUCUGCAACUCGACUCCAUGAAGUUGGAAUCGCUAGUAAUCGUGGAUCAGCAUGCCACGGUGAAUACGUUCCCGGGCCUU
This 504-nucleotide ribosomal RNA is filed under the name uncultured Desulfobulbus sp. RNAcentral's name for it is "bacterial SSU rRNA". It matches the Rfam family "Bacterial small subunit ribosomal RNA", at positions 903 to 1382 of the family's 1533-position model. The record is from RNAcentral. Lineage: Bacteria; Pseudomonadati; Thermodesulfobacteriota; Desulfobulbia; Desulfobulbales; Desulfobulbaceae.